Mercurialis annua (annual mercury) is the source of this 87-nucleotide small nucleolar RNA. RefSeq annotates it as small nucleolar RNA snoR27. NCBI's taxonomy places the organism in Eukaryota, Viridiplantae, Streptophyta, Magnoliopsida, Malpighiales, Euphorbiaceae. The record is from RefSeq and is a predicted model, not a curated record. The transcript has a single exon.
AUGGGAUCGAUGAUGUUAAUGAAAUACUGCGUUAUCUAUCUGAAAAUUAUUUCAAUUGAAGAUAACUUUGAGUUACUGAGAUCUCAU